RNAcentral lists this ribosomal RNA (482 nucleotides) under uncultured bacterium. RNAcentral describes it as "bacterial SSU rRNA". It matches the Rfam family "Bacterial small subunit ribosomal RNA", at positions 28 to 501 of the family's 1533-position model. The record is from RNAcentral.
GACGAACGCUGGCGGCGUGCCUAACACAUGCAAGUCGAGCGGGGAGGAGGAAGCUUGCUUCCGAAUCCUAGUGGCGAACGGGUGAGUAACGCGUGAGAAACCUGCCUCUCAGUGGGGGACAACAGUUGGAAACGACUGCUAAUACCGCAUAACACUUUAGUACCGCAUGGUACAGAAGUCAAAGCUUUAUGUGCUGAGAGAUGGUCUCGCGUCUGAUUAGCUAGAUGGCGGGGUAACGGCCCACCAAGGCGACGAUCAGUAGCCGGUCUGAGAGGAUGAACGGCCACAUUGGGACUGAGACACGGCCCAGACUCCUACGGGAGGCAGCAGUGGGGAAUCUUCCGCAAUGGACGAAAGUCUGACGGAGCAAUGCCGCGUGAGUGACGAAGGUUUUCGGACCGUAAAGCUCUUUGUUUAUGACGAAUGUGCAUGAUGUGAAUAAUGUUGUGUAAUGACGUAGUAACGAAUAAGCCACGGCUAAC